Molecule: transfer RNA, 76 nt
Filed under: Protosalanx chinensis
Lineage: Eukaryota; Metazoa; Chordata; Actinopteri; Osmeriformes; Salangidae
Also listed under: 4 other names
Description: tRNA-Lys
Rfam family: tRNA
About the family: Transfer RNA (tRNA) molecules are approximately 80 nucleotides in length. Their secondary structure includes four short double-helical elements and three loops (D, anti-codon, and T loops).
Source: RNAcentral
CACUAAGAAGCUAAAACGGGAGAAAGCGUUAGCCUUUUAAGCUAAAAAUUGGUGAGCCCCCAACCACCCCUAGUGA